UACGGAGGGUGCAAGCGUUAUCCGGAUUCACUGGGUUUAAAGGGUGCGUAGGUGGGUUGGUAAGUCAGUGGUGAAAUCCCCGAGCUUAACUUGGGAACUGCCAUUGAUACUAUCAGUCUUGAAUAUUGUGGAGGUUAGCGGGAUAUGUCAUGUAGCGGUGAAAUGCUUAGAUAUGACAUAGAACACCAAUUGCGAAGGCAGCUGGCUACGCAUAUAUUGACACUGAGGCACGAAAGCGUGGGGAUCAAACAGG
This 253-nucleotide ribosomal RNA is filed under the name uncultured bacterium. RNAcentral describes it as "partial 16S ribosomal RNA". It matches the Rfam family "Bacterial small subunit ribosomal RNA", at positions 524 to 776 of the family's 1533-position model. The record is from RNAcentral.